RNAcentral lists this ribosomal RNA (465 nucleotides) under uncultured bacterium. RNAcentral's name for it is "partial 16S ribosomal RNA". It matches the Rfam family "Bacterial small subunit ribosomal RNA", at positions 28 to 507 of the family's 1533-position model. The record is from RNAcentral.
GACGAACGCUGGCGGCGUGCUUAACACAUGCAAGUCGAACGGAAAGGCCCUGCUUGCCGGGUACUCGAGUGGCGAACGGGUGAGUAACACGUGGGUGAUCUGCCCUGCACUUCGGGAUAAGCCUGGGAAACUGGGUCUAAUACCGGAUAGGAGCCAUUUUUAGUGUGAUGGUUGGAAAGUUUUUUCGGUGUGGGAUGAGCUCGCGGCCUAUCAGCUUGUUGGUGGGGUAAUGGCCUACCAAGGCGGCGACGGGUAGCCGGCCUGAGAGGGUGGACGGCCACAUUGGGACUGAGAUACGGCCCAGACUCCUACGGGAGGCAGCAGUGGGGAAUAUUGCACAAUGGGCGCAAGCCUGAUGCAGCGACGCCGCGUGGGGGAUGACGGCCUUCGGGUUGUAAACUCCUUUCGCUAGGGACGAAGCUUUUUGUGACGGUACCUAGAUAAGAAGCACCGGCUAACUACGUG